CUCAGGAUGAACGCUGGCGGUGUGCCUAAUACAUGCAAGUCGAGCGAGAAGUUUACUUCUAGCGGCGAACGGGUGAGUAACACGUAUUCAACCUGCCCAUCAGUCUGGGAUAACAUCGAGAAAUCGGUGCUAAUACCGGAUAGCAGAUACUUACAUAAGUAUAUAUCUCUAAAGGAGCGUUUGCUUCGCUGAUGAAUGGGGAUGCGCAGCAUUAGGUAGUUGGUGGGAUAACAGCCCACCAAGCCAACGAUGCUUAGCCGGCCUGAGAGGGUGAUCGGCCACACUGGAACUGAGACACGGUCCAGACUCCUACGGGAGGCAGCAGUAGGGAAUUUUCGACAAUGGGCGCAAGCCUGAUCGAGCAACACCGCGUGAGGGAUGAAGGAUUUCGGUCUGUAAACCUCUGUUAUAAGGGAAGAAAAGCAGGAUAGGAAAUGAUUCUGCCCUGACGGUACCUUAUCAGAAAGCGACGG
Molecule: ribosomal RNA, 473 nt
Filed under: uncultured bacterium
Lineage: Bacteria
Description: bacterial SSU rRNA
Rfam family: Bacterial small subunit ribosomal RNA
Source: RNAcentral